CCAAGUGGUCGUGAUCUACUGGU
Molecule: non-coding RNA, 23 nt
Filed under: Arabidopsis thaliana (thale cress)
Lineage: Eukaryota; Viridiplantae; Streptophyta; Magnoliopsida; Brassicales; Brassicaceae
Source: RNAcentral